UACGUAGGGUGCAAGCGUUUAUCGGAAUUACUGGGCGUAAAGCGUGCGCAGGCGGUUCUAUAAGACAGAUGUGAAAUCCCCGGGCUCAACCUGGGAACUGCAUUUGUGACUGUAGAGCUGGAGUGCGGCAGAGGGGGAUGGAAUUCCGCGUGUAGCAGUGAAAUGCGUAGAUAUGCGGAGGAACACCGAUGGCGAAGGCAAUCCCCUGGGCCUGCACUGACGCUCAUGCACGAAAGCGUGGGGAGCAAACAGG
RNAcentral lists this ribosomal RNA (253 nucleotides) under uncultured bacterium. RNAcentral describes it as "partial 16S ribosomal RNA". It matches the Rfam family "Bacterial small subunit ribosomal RNA", at positions 524 to 776 of the family's 1533-position model. The record is from RNAcentral.